This 346-nucleotide long non-coding RNA is filed under the name Phascolarctos cinereus (koala). Its description in RNAcentral is "lncRNA (ENSPCIG00000033857.1)". The record is from RNAcentral. Lineage: Eukaryota; Metazoa; Chordata; Mammalia; Diprotodontia; Phascolarctidae.
AAAGCCAAUUUUUCCUCAGAUGAAAGUGAAGAAUCAGAUGAUACUAAAAACAUUACUGAAAAGAAAGAUGAAACAAAUACAAGAAGUGAGGGGAUUUGUGAAAAAAGCAAUUUGAAAUCUGAUUCAGACUCUGAGGAAAUUAAGAAGCUGAAAUACAGAUCCCCACUGGUUACAUACAAUCUAAAUAUAAGUGGUGGAGAAUCUGCAGAAGAAACAAAAGAAAGCAACCACAGAAAGAGGAGGAAAGUGAGCAUGGAUGAUUCAGGACUGAAAGUUACUGAAAACAUUACUGAACAUGAAGAUGAUGAACAGUCAAAGACAAGAUCAGCAACAAAUGUAAAGGUAG